This 53-nucleotide ribosomal RNA is filed under the name Henricia tumida (blood star). Its description in RNAcentral is "partial 12S ribosomal RNA". The record is from RNAcentral. Lineage: Eukaryota; Metazoa; Echinodermata; Asteroidea; Spinulosida; Echinasteridae.
CAACAGAGAAAGUCGUAACAAAGUAGGUGUAUUGGAAAAUGCACCUGGACCUA